This is a long non-coding RNA of Dreissena polymorpha, 3644 nucleotides long. RefSeq lists it as uncharacterized. Lineage: Eukaryota; Metazoa; Mollusca; Bivalvia; Myida; Dreissenidae. The transcript has 2 exons. The record is from RefSeq and is a predicted model, not a curated record.
CAUAAGCAGAGGACUCCGAUGACGAAAAUAAAAUCUACAGAGCCCAGCAGAAGGCAGACCGGAAGUUGCGCCAAGAGCAGCGGAACCGCGCAGGACGUUUCUCUCAAUACGUUCUUCUGGUCAAAGGCAAUGGCAAUGCAGCAUCGGCAUCGAAUCAGUCAACGGCAGCUUCGCAGACUAGACGGCCCGGGACGUGUUUCCGGUGUGGGCGUACAGGACAUUGGCGAGCAGAGCGCAUGGCUGUAUACCCAGCAAUGGAGCCAUUGUUUCGAAAGAUAACAAGAUAAGUAACCAUGUUGAUUGUAGUGUGGUUGAGGAAAAUGAGAAAUCGAUUGCAAAAUAUCAGUAAAAACGCCUGUAGGUAGGCUUAACUCUUGUUACGAGUAUUGGAAAAACGCAAAUGCAAGUGAUUACAUAUUAGACGUAUUUAAUAAUGAAUACAAAAUGCCUUUUAGAGAUGUACCACGGUCUGUUAUUUUACCCAAUAACAAAUCUGCUAAUGAUAAUUGUUCAUUUGUGUCGAAAUUGAACGUCAAUUGGCUAAGGGCUGUAUUUCUCAAGUAAAAUAAACCUCCAGUCGUUGUUAAUCCUUUGACUGUGGCUUAUGGAAAAAGCAGAAAACCGAGACUUGUAUUAGAUUGUCGUUAUAUAAAUCCAGAAUUAUUUAAAUACAAGGUCUGUUUCGAGGAUCAGUCAGUUGCUAAACAAAUAUUUUGUAAAGGAGACUAUUUAUUUUCAUUUGAUAUUAGAUCCGCUUAUCAUCAUAUAAUGAUUUUUCCAGAACAUAGACAAUUUCUUGGUUUUUGUUGGGAAACCGAAAACGGAAAAGGGUAUUAUGUUUACAACGUGUUACCAUUCGGGAUCUCUACAGCGGGUUUCAUUUUAAAUUUACUAAAAUUUUGAGAGUUCUUGUAACAAAAUGGAGGUCGAUGGGUCACAAAAUAGUUGUAUUUCUGGAUGACGGUCUCGGUGGUUCAAAUUCAUUUGAAAACGCUUCCCGAGUUUCAAGGUUCAUACUCGAAGAUUUGCGGAAUUUUUGGUUCUUAAUCGCUGAUGAAAGUUGUCAUUGGGAACCUCGGCAGUGUAUAGAUUGGUAAGGGUAUACUUGGCAUAUGCAUGAUGGUACUGUGCGAGUAAAUGAUGCACGUAUAGAAAGCGCCGUCUGUAUAUUAAAUGAGAUUUCAUCUAAAAUUGUUUACGUUGAAAAUAUGUUGCAUGUACGUGUAAUUGCACGACUGAUCGGUCAGCUGAUUUCGAUGCAAAGUGCUAUGGGGCCGAUUGUACGUUUAAGGUCAAGGUCUCUUUAUCAGUGCGUAUUGUCCAGAGCGAGUUGGGACGCUCCUGUCUUGGUGACAAGCAAGGCUUUUGAUGAGAUAUUAUUUUUGAAAUGGAACAUACAUUCGCUGAGUUGUGGGAAAUUAGAGGAAUUUGAUUUGUUUUGCGAAAAUGAGCAAACCGUCGUCUAUUGUGACGCCAGUGGAGCUGGAUUUGAAGGUUUUGUAGAGAAUCACAACAAUGGCGAUGUUGUGGGUUGUUGGUCCGAGUCUGAAACAAGACUCAGUUCUACCUGGAGUGAGUUAGAAUCUGUACGCAGAGUGCUUAAUAGUUCUUUGGAACAAGUAAAAGGAUCUGUAGUUAAAUUAAACUCCGAUAACAGGAAUGUAACAAGUAUUUUAAAAACAGGUAGUAGAAAGCCAUAUCUGCAAGAUGUUGCAGUACAUGUUGAUGAUGUCUGUAGAAGUAAUGGUAUAAUAUUGGUACGAAAUUGGGUUCCACGAAAAAGCAACGAUUAAGCCGAUUUUUUGAGUAGGUCCACUGAGAGUGACGAUUGGUCUAUUGAAAAUUAUAUUUUCGAAAAUUUAGAAACAACUUGGGGUCCACAUACAUGUGAUUGUUUUGCAUGUAAUUACAAUACUAAAUGCGCCAAAUUUAAUUCUAGAUAUUGGUGCCCUGGUACUUCCAGCUGUAGACGCAUUUAGAGUGGAGUGAAAAGGCGAGAAUAUCUGGAUUGUACCUCCGCCUCGAUUGGCAUGUUUAAAUCUCAAGACGGCUAUUGAGACGGAGAUUCAGGACAGCGGGAUUAGCUUAAGCGAGUUUGGAGAUUUGGCGGGAAAGAUGUCGAGACAACUUGUGUAUUCAAGAAGUGACAAUACAUACAUAAAGUAUUUUAGUCAUUAUAAUAAGUGGAAAUCUUUUAUAUCUUCUAAGGGCGGCUUAGCGGUUCCAGCUUCUCCUAUUCAUGUGGCUUUGUAUUUGACUGAUCUUAUUGACAAGCAAGUAUCGAGUUAUGUUAUAAGUGCUUCUUUAUAUAGCAUUAAGUGGGCUAAUUCUCUCAGAAAUCUCCCUGAUCCUACGGCUAAUGCAUUUGUGGUGAAUUUGCUGGAAUCUGCAAAAAAGAACAUUAUCAAAACCGUUUUCUUGCAAGGAACUGAUUUCUUUAGAAUCGUAGCAAGUGCUUUGCGAAAAGUAUUCUAGCAAUACAGAUUUGCUUGUAUUGAGGGAUUUAUGCAUGUUCUCUUUAGCAUUUAAUGGCUUUUUACUAUUUAACGAGCUAGUUAAUUUGAGAUGUGAUGAUAUUCAAUUUUUUAUCGAAUAUUUUACAAUAACCAUAAGAAAAAGUAAGAAUGACCAAUAUCGUAACGGCGAAAAAAUCCAUAUCGCUAAGGGCGAAACUGCGGCUUGUCCGUAUUUUAUUUUAAAUAGAUAUUUAGAAAUUGCUGGAUUAUCGACGAGUAGCAAUUGUUUCUUGUUUGGACCUAUUAAUAAGUCAAAAGGCAAUUCAAUAUUGAUUCAGAAAGACAAACCGCUGAGUUAAAUCCGAAGUCGCGAGUGUAUAACGGCUUUAUUAAGAGAAGUGGUAGGUAAUUCAAAUAUUGGCUUGCAUUCAUUGCGCGCCGAAGGCGCAACAUGCGCGGCGAACGCAGGAGUAGAUGACCGUUGUUGGAAACGGCAUGGUCGCUGGAAGAGCGAAAAUAGUAAGGAUAGAUAUGCCUGUGACUCCUUGGAGAGGAGACUGAGUGUGUCUAAGGCUCUGGCGUUAUAAAUAUAGGCAGUUUCAUUCUCAAAUAGCAUUGUGAUGUUAAAUAUUUUAUUUUUUUUUCCCCACCAGCCCGCUCUUUUCGUUUUCUAAACGUCUCGUCUGGUAUUUCAAACAUGAGUGUGUUGUUUUUAAAGGAGAAACAGAAGUGUAGCAAAUACUUUUUAUUUUUACGCGUUUCGAUAGUAUAGCGUGAAAUAUUUGUCUUACGCGAAACGUGACUGUUUUACAGUAAUAAAAUGAUUGGUCAGUUGCACGAGGAUCUCAAACAUACAAUUAUGUCGUGUAGAGUUCAUUCUACCAGGCGUCUUCAGACAGUGCGGACCGGUUUUAUUUUAAUUUCAUGUGCUAAGAAAAGUUGUUGUUUUUUGCUGCGUUGGUAUAUGUUUUGAUUUGUAUAUGAAACCAGACACAUGAAUGAGGCUCGACAUUCGUAUUGUGUUGCGACAAUUGGCAAACGAGCACAGGUUUCCAGCGUUAACCGUCUCUGGUUUUUCCUGGCCGGUCGGUUCACAUUUUGUAGUCAUAAAUCUUGCCAUGUAUGUAUUCAAUGUUGAACUUGGCUGCACAGUGUCCCGCAAAUAAACGUCUCGUCUGGUAUUGCAAA